RNAcentral lists this unclassified non-coding RNA (344 nucleotides) under soil metagenome. RNAcentral's name for it is "partial contains 5.8S ribosomal RNA, internal transcribed spacer 2, and large subunit ribosomal RNA". The stretch from base 1 to 120 matches the Rfam family "5.8S ribosomal RNA", at positions 35 to 154 of the family's 154-position model. The record is from RNAcentral.
GAUGAAGAACGUAGCGAAAUGCGAUACGUAAUGUGAAUUGCAGAAUUCAGUGAAUCAUCGAGUCUUUGAACGCACAUUGCGCCCGCCAGUAUUCUGGCGGGCAUGCCUGUUCGAGCGUCAUUUCAACCCUCAAGCCCCCGGGCUUGGUGUUGGGGAUCGGCGUGCCCUCGCGGCGCGCCGUCCCCUAAAUCUAGUGGCGGUCUCGCUGUAGCUUCCUCUGCGUAGUAGCAACACUCGCACUGGAUCGCAGCGCGGCCACGCCGUUAAACCCCCCACUUCUGAAAGUUUGACCUCGGAUCAGGUAGGAAUACCCGCUGAACUUAAGCAUAUCAAUAAGCGGAGGA